Molecule: ribosomal RNA, 292 nt
Filed under: uncultured bacterium
Lineage: Bacteria
Description: partial 16S ribosomal RNA
Rfam family: Bacterial small subunit ribosomal RNA
Source: RNAcentral
GUGUCAGCAGCCGCGGUAAUACGGAGGGUGCGAGCGUUGUCCGGAAUCACUGGGCGUAAAGGGCGCGUAGGUGGUUCGGUAAGUUGCUGGUGAAAUCCCGGGGCUCAACUCCGGGGCUGCCGGCAAGACUGUCGGACUUGAGCACGGUAGGGGCAGAUGGAAUUCCCGGUGUAGCGGUGGAAUGCGUAGAUAUCGGGAAGAAUACCAGUGGCGAAGGCGUUCUGCUGGGCCGUUGCUGACACUGAGGCGCGACAGCGUGGGGAGCAAACAGGAUUAGAAACCCGGGUAGUCC